CCAGACUCCUACGGGAGGCAGCAGUGAGGAAUAUUGGUCAAUGGCCGAGAGGCUGAGCCAGCCAAGUCGCGUGAGGGAUGACGGCCCUACGGGUUGUAAACCUCUUUUGUCGGGGAGCAAAGAGAGUCACGUGUGGCUCAUUGAGAGUACCCGAAGAAAAAGCAUCGGCUAACUCCGUGCCAGCAGCCGCGGUAAUACGGAGGAUGCGAGCGUUAUCCGGAUUUAUUGGGUUUAAAGGGUGCGUAGGCGGGAUGCCAAGUCAGCGGUAAAAAUGCGGUGCUCAACGCCGUCGAGCCGUUGAAACUGGCGUUCUUGAGUGGGCGAGAAGUAUGCGGAAUGCGUGGUGUAGCGGUGAAAUGCAUAGAUAUCACGCAGAACUCCGAUUGCGAAGGCAGCAUACCGGCGCCCUACUGACGCUGAGGCACGAAAGCGUGGGUAUCGAACAGGAUUAGAUACCCUUGUA
This 463-nucleotide ribosomal RNA is filed under the name uncultured bacterium. RNAcentral's name for it is "bacterial SSU rRNA". It matches the Rfam family "Bacterial small subunit ribosomal RNA", at positions 331 to 792 of the family's 1533-position model. The record is from RNAcentral.